RNAcentral lists this ribosomal RNA (251 nucleotides) under uncultured bacterium. RNAcentral's name for it is "partial 16S ribosomal RNA". It matches the Rfam family "Bacterial small subunit ribosomal RNA", at positions 524 to 776 of the family's 1533-position model. The record is from RNAcentral.
UACGUAGGGAGCAAGCGUUGUCCGGAAUCAUUGGGCGUAAAGCGCGCGUAGGCGGCCCUGUAAGUCCGUUGUGAAAGUCAAAGGCUCAACCUUUGAAAGCCGAUGGAUACUGCAGGGCUAGAGUCCGGAAGAGGCGAGUGGAAUUCCUGUGUAGCGGUGGAAUGCGCAGAUAUCAGGAGGAACACCUGAGGCGAAGGCGGGCUACUGGGCCGAUACUGACGCUGAUGCGCGAAAGCCAGGGAGCAAACGGG